GAGAUUCCCCCAGUAGCGGCGAGCGAACGGGGAGGAGCCCAGAGCCUGAAUCAGCAUGUGUGUUAGUGGAAGCGUCUGGAAAGGCGCGCGAUACAGGGUGACAGCCCCGUACACAAAAGCGCAUGUGCUGUGAGCUCGAUGAGUAGGGCGGGACACGUGGUAUCCUGUCUGAAUAUGGGGGGACCAUCCUCCAAGGCUAAAUACUCCUGACUGACCGAUAGUGAACCAGUACCGUGAGGGAAAGGCGAAAAGAACCCCGGCGAGGGGAGUGAAAAAGAACCUGAAACCGUGUACGUACAAGCAGUGGGAGCACCCUUUGGGUGUGACUGCGUACCUUUUGUAUAAUGGGUCAGCGACUUAUAUUCUGUAGCAAGGUUAACCGAAUAGGGGAGC
This 393-nucleotide ribosomal RNA is filed under the name Salmonella enterica subsp. enterica serovar Enteritidis. Its description in RNAcentral is "partial 23S ribosomal RNA". It matches the Rfam family "Bacterial large subunit ribosomal RNA", at positions 231 to 666 of the family's 2925-position model. Lineage: Bacteria; Pseudomonadati; Pseudomonadota; Gammaproteobacteria; Enterobacterales; Enterobacteriaceae. The record is from RNAcentral.